This 356-nucleotide long non-coding RNA is filed under the name Brassica napus (rape). Its description in RNAcentral is "long non-coding RNA (BNAP_LNC014820)". The record is from RNAcentral. Lineage: Eukaryota; Viridiplantae; Streptophyta; Magnoliopsida; Brassicales; Brassicaceae.
ACUCCACCAACACCCAUUGUUGACCCAGGCACACCCAUCAUUGGAGAAACCCCACCAACUCCUUCCGGUGGAUAUUACUCAUCUCCUCCACCAAGUACUCCAGUCGUUGAGACUCCACCAACACCUAUUGUUGACCCAGGCACACCCAUCAUUGGAGAAACCCCACCAACUCCUUCCGGUGGAUAUUACUCAUCUCCUCCACCAAGUACUCCCAUUGUUGUAACUCCACCAACACCCAUUGUUGACCCAGGCACACCCAUCAUUGGAGGAACCCCACCAACUCCUUUUAUUGACCCUGGCACUCCUGGAACCCCCUUCCUUCCUGCUCCUUUUCCACCAAUCACUGGAACAUGCGA